RNAcentral lists this long non-coding RNA (5175 nucleotides) under Hordeum vulgare. RNAcentral describes it as "long non-coding RNA (HVUL_LNC018753)". The record is from RNAcentral. Lineage: Eukaryota; Viridiplantae; Streptophyta; Magnoliopsida; Poales; Poaceae.
UGUCGGUCUGCUGAUCGAGUGUAAAUACAGUGGGGUUUUACGCCCAAACUGCAGGUUGUCGUGUUCUCCACAGGGACUAGGCAAAUCAUCGACUAUGAUCGGCUAAAUCUAGGUAACAAAAUAUUUGGAAUGAUUGCGGGGAAAUAAACCUAAAUUUAUCUAAGAUCGUUCUGGAAAAUUGUCGAUCAAGAAAAUGCAAAACAAGCAAAAGGGAGGUUCAGACUUUACUCACUUUCUUUUGGUAUUUUCAUUUUAAUAGAGAAAUAAAAUGCUAACACAAGCAAACAUCAAUGAAUUAAAAAGACAUGAACACAUAUAUAACUAUCUAGCAUUUAACAGAGGAAGGAGACUGAAUUAUGUGACAGGAAAUAGAUGAUUCACAGCACAAACACACACAUACUAUAUAUAUAUAUAUCACAUGAACUUGAUCUAACACUUGGAUUAUAAAAUGGAACAAGUUCACAAGAUUGAACACAAACACAAGCUUGCAGAUUACUAACUCACAAAGCAAAAUCACAUAGACCAAACAUUAUACAUAGCAACUAGGCCUAACAUUUCAGAGAACACAAGAUGUAACAUGAUAUUACAAGUAUGAAACUGAACCAAAUCUGAAUAUUACAUAAUUCUGAACAUCACACUUCUCAAGUUUACAGAAAUUUGGGAGAGAGGGAGAGAGAUAACAGCAGCAACUAGUUGAAGGAAAAGAAGAGCUUCAGGUUAGGAGCAGCAGCAACAACGGUUUGGAGAGGGAGCAUCAGCAGGUCAAGGAAGAAGGAGCAACAGCAGAUCGUGGGAAAAGGAGCAACAACAGAGACGAGUGGAGAGGGAGCAGUAGCAGAUACGAGGGGAGAGGGAGCAGAAACUGAUACGAGGGGAGAAGGAUCAGCAGCAGAUCCAACAGGGACGUGGGGAGAGGGAGCAACAAGGGGGCGCUGGAGAGAGGAGCAGCAGUAGGGGAUGGGGAUCAGAGGACGGCGCUGGUGUGGAUGGUGGUGCUGGAGUGGAUGGACGGUUGGGUGGCGCCGGUGGCACGAUGGACGGAUGCAUGGAGAUGGUGGUACAGGGUGGUGUUGUUGGCGCACCUACCACGCCGGCAUGGCCGUGGUGGCGACUGGAGGUGGAGAAGGAGGGGUCAGGGAAGAAGAAGAUGGAGGUACUAGGCCCGAAGGGGAUCGAAGGCUUCUCUAGGGAUUUUGACCCCUCACGACUGAUUUCCUCCUUUGCAAUUUGGUCCCUCUACUUUUCUUCUUUCUGCACAAGUUGAUCCUCCCCUUGUUUAGUUUGACCCCUCGGUCUCUUCUUUCCUUCACGCUUCCAAACCUUGAAGUUUAUAGUGCCUUAGCGCACUUUUCUGCAAAAUAAACAAGUGACGAGUAAAUGAUGUUUUAUAUGACUUUCAUUCAAAUAUGUGAUAUUUCAUAGCAAGAAUAGAGGAAUAUAUCACAACAGAUGUUAUAUUUGAGUGCCUACUUAUCAAGUUCCCCCACACUUAAAUCUUUACUUGUCCUCAAGUAAAGGCAUAUCAGAGAGAAAGAUAGUGAACAGUAAACUGACUAAAGAAUGUCCAAGUGAAGUAGAUCUCUAAACAAUGCAUGCUUUGAACUUUGCUAGUGAAAAAUAAUGGUUAGGGUUGCUACAAACAAUAUGGUACUAGUAGACUUGAUCAUUUUAAUCUUUUACAAUGAUAGACGAAGAUCAACAAGUUUAAAUGAUGAUUGUUCCAAAAGGUUCCUAAAGAGAGCAUGAUCCCGAGGACAAGAACUUAAACUUGUGAUCAGAUCACUUAUUUAUAGAAAUAAAGCAAUGUGGUUAAACCACUUAUUGAAUUUGAAGGAAUCAAUGACAAUAUGUUAUUGGUCUAACCAAAGGAACAUACCACCGAUCCCGAGAACAUGGUAUACACCUGGCUCGACCAAUUAUUAGUUUUUUUUGUUUGUCUCCCAAAAGUAACAUGCCGCCGAUCCAAAGAACAUGGUAUACACCUGGUUCAACAAUUACAUUUUUUAUACUUAACUCCUAUCUCACCCAACCAGAUUUCACAAGCCACCGAUCCAGGGAACAUGGCAUGCUACUAUUAGGUAGAUCAUAUAAUUAUACAUUACAAUUUUAUUUUAUUUUUCAAACGAACAAAAACAAGAAUCAUCACUCAUCCAUGUCUGGUUCACAUGCUACCGAUCCAGGGAACAUAGCAUGCUAAUCCAUAGUGGUCAAGUAAUUGCUCUGAAUGGGAACACACUUGGCACAAAUUCAGCAUCUAAACAUAGUGAUCUAGGUGUAUCAAGGUAAAAGCAGAAAAUGGUGGAGUUUACUAGUGCACUAGGGAUUUGAGCACUCGAAACAAAUGACUUUUACUAAUUUCAGCAAAGCAAGCAUUGUAUAGAUCGGUAGUUUACGAGGCAUUCGGAAAUCAGUUCACAAAUUCAUAUCAAGCAUAAUAUGACAUAAGCAAAUUUCAGGAUGACACAAUUAACAAAUGUCACAAGAAACCCAAAUAUCAAAUGAUUUCAUCAUGUAUCAAUAUAUGAUUAUUUUAGAAUGGAUCAUGAAACAGCUCACCGGGCUUGGAUGAUGUAGCACUCGCUCGAUCAUCUCACCAACUGCAGCUCUUCUCCUCUUGCUUAUCGCAUGCCCGCUCCAACUUCACUCUUCUUCGUGUGUGCCCCUUGCUUCUCCUCUUCACCAUGCUUUGAAUCCACCAGGGUCCCAAGGAAUGUCACCUCAAACCUGGUCACCAUGUAGUAGAUCGUGCACAAGCAAAAACCUGAAAGACCACUCAACAACACAGACAAUGCAAGUGGUUGGUACAAUGCCCUCUAAAUCAUCAAUAGAGUACCCAAUUACAUAUCCAUAGCAAUAAAGCACAUGCUUAGGAUAGUAGGAAUAAGCAAGCUCAAUACUAGCAUGGUGAUGAUAUUUAUCAUUAAGCAUAGGUCUAGCAUGAGGAGAAUAAGUAUCAUCAAUAGAAAUAUGAGCAAUGUCACUAACAGGCUAAGUAUCAUCAUCUCCAAGCCAAUAAUUUUUCAAGUCUACUUUCACUGAUGGUGUCAUGAAAUGCAAGGUAUAAGCAAAGAAAUCAUAAGGAUGCAUAUCAUCAAGAGGAUUAGAAAAACCUGUUACAUCACACUCUUGUAUGACGAUUGGCAAAUGAAUCUCUAGUUCUUCAUCUUCAAGUACAACAGCUUCUUUUACUUCUUCAGGAGUGAGAGAUGAUGGUUCUUCUACUUGAUGACUUGGGCAUUCGAGCUCUAGAUCAUCUUGUGCCUUGGCUUCGAAUACAUCUUAAAUCUGAGGUCUCUCUUUCUCUUUGCGUAUGCUAUCUUGCUCAACUGAAUGUGAAGGUAUUGGAACCUCACAUGUAUCCAGGGAAAUCCCAGCAACACUCAGCUCAAGAAGUGAUGAGAUAGUACCUCCAGCAUUGAUAUUCUUCUCAAUAUUCCUCACUUCUUCCACUAGCUCUUUCCCACUCUUGAUCUUCUUAAUUUCCUCUAGUAUAACCUUCCUAAUAGGAUCAUCCUGAGCGCUCCAAGUGAACUCGAGGCUAAGAAGUGUGAGCUUCUCUAUGUCGUCAAAAUCAUCUUUAGUAGGCACUUGCACUGGAUACUCAACAUGCGUUGGAGGUGUUAGCUCACCAAAUGGAGGACCAUUUAACUCCAUUGGACACAUCUCCUGAUGCUGAGGUAUAUGAGUAGGAGCUGAAUAGAGUUGUUGUGGUGCAUAGUUGUGGCUCUCGUGUUCAUACCUAAAUCCCUGCAUAUGAUUUCUUGAAGCAAAUGGUGAGAUCUCAGGGUUGUUGCUCCUAUAUUACAUAUUCUGGUUUUCAGGCCACCCAUGUGAGUAAUUGUUGUGGUAUGAGCUAUGCUAUGGGGCAAAGCUCAUGCCAAAACAAUCUGGAGGGUAAGAGUAACCACGCUGACAUUCAGCGGGUGAAUGGCCCUGAAAUCCACAAAUAUAGCAUGUAGGAGCAGCAUAAGGAUGGCCUACAUAAUAAGGAUCAUAACAACUAGGUGCGUUCUCAACAUCUAUACCUCGCUGCUGAGCUAAUUCAUCUAAUUGAUGGGAAAUCUUACUUAUCAGGUCUUGAACACUUUUCGUGUUAUUUGUGCUAUUGCUCACAUAAGCAUGAUGAUCGGAGUAGAAUGCCAUUUCCAAGAAGAUUGUUCUAACCUCCAGAAAGGAAAAAAGAAAUAAAGAGGAAAUAUACUAGAACAGGGGUUAGUUGUCAGAGAUAUAUCACAUAAAAACGUCACAAAAAGAAAACAAGAAAAACCUAGUCUAUAGGCUAACACAAUAGCUCGACGCUAGUCCUCGGCAACGGCGCCAAAAUGAUCGAGUGUAAGUACAAUGCGGCUUUACGCCCAAACUGCGGGUUGUCGUGUUCUCCACAGGGAAUAGGCAAAUCAGCGACUAUGCUCGGCUAAAUCUAGGUAACAAAAUAUUUGGAAUGAUUGCGGGGAAAUAAACCUAAAUUUAUCUAAGAUCGUUCCGGAAAAUCGUCGAUCAAGAAAAUGCAAAACAAGCAAAAGGGAGGUUCANGUUGAAGGAAAAGAAGAGCUUCAGGUUAGGAGCACCAGCAGCAUCAGUUUGGAGAAGGAGCAACAGCAGGUCAAGGAAGAAGGACCAGCAGCAGAUCGUGGGAAAAAGAGAAGCAUCAGAGACGAGUGGAGAGGGAGCAGGAGCAGAUACGAGGGGAGAGAGAGCAGCAGCUGAUACGAGGGGAGAGGGAGCAACAGCAGAUCCAACAGGGACGUGGGGAGAGGGAGCAGCAAGGGGGCGCUAGAGAGAGGAGCAGCAGCAGGGGAUGGGGAUCAGACGACGACGCUGGUGUGGAUGGUGGUGCUGGAGUGGAUGGACGGUUGGGUGGCACGCUUGCGGUGGCACAGUGGACGGAUGGAUGGAGAUGGUGGUACACGGUGGUUAUGUUGGCGCGCCUAUCACGCCGGCCUGGCCGUGGCGGCGGCCAGAGGUGUAGAAGGAGGGGUGAGGGAAGAAGAAGAUGGAGGUACNNNNNNNNNNNNNNNNNNNNNNNNNNNNNNNNNNNNNNNNNNNNNNNNNNNNNNNNNNNNNNNNNNNNNNNNNNNNNNNNNNNNNNNNNNNNNNNNNNNNNNNNNNNNNNNNNNNNNAGAAGAAGAUGGAGGUACCAGGCCCGAAGGGGAUCAAAGGCUUCUCUAGGCUUCG